This 680-nucleotide long non-coding RNA is filed under the name Mytilus galloprovincialis (Mediterranean mussel). Lineage: Eukaryota; Metazoa; Mollusca; Bivalvia; Mytilida; Mytilidae. The record is from RNAcentral.
GUUUUGGUCUAUUUUUUCUUAAACUAUAAGUAGUAGGUCAACUAUAUUUGUUGUAUGGAAGCUUUGGUAGCUGUACAUGUCUGCCUGGCAUGGUUCAUCUGACCUUGACCUCAUUUUCAUGGUUCAUUGGUCUUUGUUUAGCUAUCUUGGUUAAUGUUAAGUUAUGUGACAGUUGUAAUAAAACUUUAUACUUAGGACUAUCAACAUAGUAUCAAUGAUUAAUAAAGAAGGCGAGACAUUUCAGUGUGUGCACUCUUGUUUGAGUAAAUAUUUGAUUUUUCCACUGUUCAGAACUGUAGGUAAGAUGAUUUGGUGUGGACAAGGCUUAGACAAUAAAUGUCAAGCAUAUAAUUAUAACAGCGAUAUAUGUUGGGUUGUAAUUAUAUAAGUCAUCUAAUUGAUGGAUAAAUACAGAUAUUUUUAACGUUGUUUUGUUGCAUCUUUGUAUAAAUUGCAAAAAAAAAACUUUUCUGUAAAUUCAUCUGUAUUUGUGUUUCAUACCUCAGAGAAUGUAGUUAUAGAAUGUGUAUUUUUCCGACUCUUAUAAAGAGGAUUAUAUUUAUUUAGAUGUCUUAUGUAGACAUCAGCUAUCAUGGUUACAUGUUAAGAGUCAGUAGAAAUGUGUUUUAUUCAUGUGUUAUUAUUGAAAUAUUUGAAAUAAAUUAUGCUUCCAUUUAUAA